GUAGCCGCGGGAAUACGUAGGGUGCAAGCGUUAAUCGGAAUUACUGGGCGUAAAGCGUGCGCAGGCGGUUUUGUAAGACAGAGGUGAAAUCCCCGGGCUCAACCUGGGAACUGCCUUUGUGACUGCAAGGCUAGAGUACGGCAGAGGGGGAUGGAAUUCCGCGUGUAGCAGUGAAAUGCGUAGAUAUGCGGAGGAACACCGAUGGCGAAGGCAAUCCCCUGGGCCUGUACUGACGCUCAUGCACGAAAGCGUGGGGAGCAAACAGGAUUAGAUACCCGAGUAGUCCCUGUCUCUUAUACAC
RNAcentral lists this ribosomal RNA (301 nucleotides) under uncultured bacterium. RNAcentral's name for it is "partial 16S ribosomal RNA". It matches the Rfam family "Bacterial small subunit ribosomal RNA", at positions 511 to 809 of the family's 1533-position model. The record is from RNAcentral.